RNAcentral lists this ribosomal RNA (549 nucleotides) under Chelon labrosus (thicklip grey mullet). Its description in RNAcentral is "partial 16S ribosomal RNA". It matches the Rfam family "Bacterial large subunit ribosomal RNA", at positions 1851 to 2597 of the family's 2925-position model. Lineage: Eukaryota; Metazoa; Chordata; Actinopteri; Mugiliformes; Mugilidae. The record is from RNAcentral.
GGUCCUGCCUGCCCUGUGACCCCUGGUUCAACGGCCGCGGUAUUUUGACCGUGCAAAGGUAGCGCAAUCACUUGUCUCUUAAAUGAGGACCUGUAUGAAUGGCACAACGAGGGCUUAACUGUCUCCUUUUCCCGGUCAGUGAAAUUGAUCUUCCCGUGCAGAAGCGGGAAUCCUAACAUAAGACGAGAAGACCCUAUGGAGCUUUAGACUUUCGAACAGAUCAUGUAAGCUACCCCCAUGAAAUGGGUAAUAACUAUUGAAUUCCUGUUCUCCUGUCUUUGGUUGGGGCGACCACGGGGAAGAAAAAAACCCCCAUGUGGACCAGGAGCACAUUACUCCUACAACCAUGAGCCACAGCUCUAAUGCACAAAACCUUUGACCAUUAGAUCCGGCAAAGCCGAUCAACGGACCAAGUUACCCUAGGGAUAACAGCGCAAUCCCCUUUAAGAGUCCAUAUCGACAAGGGGGUUUACGACCUCGAUGUUGGAUCAAGACAUCCUAAUGGUGCAGCCGCUAUUAAGGGUUCGUUUGUUCAACGAUUAAAGUCUU